UACGAAGGGGGCUAGCGUUGCUCGGAAUCACUGGGCGUAAAGCGCACGUAGGCGGAUUGUUAAGUCAGGGGUGAAAUCCUGGAGCUCAACUCCAGAACUGCCUUUGAUACUGGCGAUCUCGAGUCCGGGAGAGGUGAGUGGAACUGCGAGUGUAGAGGUGAAAUUCGUAGAUAUUCGCAAGAACACCAGUGGCGAAGGCGGCUCACUGGCCCGGUACUGACGCUGAGGUGCGAAAGCGUGGAGAGC
RNAcentral lists this ribosomal RNA (246 nucleotides) under uncultured bacterium. Its description in RNAcentral is "partial 16S ribosomal RNA". It matches the Rfam family "Bacterial small subunit ribosomal RNA", at positions 524 to 769 of the family's 1533-position model. The record is from RNAcentral.